RNAcentral lists this ribosomal RNA (265 nucleotides) under uncultured bacterium. RNAcentral's name for it is "partial 16S ribosomal RNA". It matches the Rfam family "Bacterial small subunit ribosomal RNA", at positions 793 to 1055 of the family's 1533-position model. The record is from RNAcentral.
GUCCACGCCGUAAACGAUGAUAACUAGCUGUCCGGGCACUUGGUGCCUGGGUGGCGCAGCUAACGCAUUAAGUUAUCCGCCUGGGGAGUACGGUCGCAAGAUUAAAAACUCAAAAGGAAUUGACGGGGGCCUGCACAAGCGGUGGAGCAUGUGGUUUAAAUUCGAAGCAACGCGCAGAACCUUACCAGCCUUUGACAUCCCGCGCUACUUCCAGAGAUGGAAGGUUCCCUUCGGGACGCGGUGACAGGUGCUGCAUGGCUGUCGU